CUUUUUUGAGAAAACAAAUUAAAGGAGCUGCUUUUAUGAUUGAUUCUGAAAACUACAGAACGAUUUGAAACUGGUCUACAUUUGAAACCACAAUUUUGAUGAUGUUUCUAUUUUCUUUCAUUUCCAAUAAUUUUUUUUUUUUUAGAUAACGACAAUUUUUCUUUUUCUGCAAACAAAGAAGAGCUCAUCCUUCAGAAAGCCCACAUUCCUUUGGAGGGUAAAAUAGAGAUGAAGCAUUACACGUGAUGGGUGAAAAGUGCUUUUUGAAAACCUAAUUAGCAUCUUUUGUGAGAAAUGUGCCUUUGUCAUUGUAAAAAAGAUGAUUAUGGACAGCAGAUGGGAAGGAGUAAUUCUUCAAAAUUUGGAAAUCAGAUGGCAGAGCUGCCUAAGGAGUAACUUUAAAAUGUUUUAGCUCGUCACACAGAAAAACGACCUGAUGCAAUCCUUUUUCUUCGGAAAUGUUUUCCUAUCCUUACUGCUAGGAGAAUUAAUACACUGUCGGGGAUGAUACCGAACAUUAAACGUUGGUUUGUGAGUCGGACUAGACAACCUCUUAAAUUCUUUUCAAAAAUGAAUUUUUAUGUUACUACUGUAGUCAAGGAUGUGGUCAAGGACAUGAGCCAGACUACCUGGAUUGGAAUGCCAGCUCUCAACCCUAGAAUCAGCUCCUAGCCAUAAAUUGCAAACUAGUGGCCUUUUGCAGAGCUGUAACUAUAUAUACUAGUUGAUGUAGAAAAAUGUGGAAAUUUCGCUUUAUCAGUUGCUUUUUCAUUUGAAGGUUCUGGAGAGAGUCAUGAAUGUGCAGGUGUGUGUGUACAUGCAUAUAUGUAUGAUGAUAUCUGUGUAUACAGCCUUACCAUGGAGAUAUUGCUGGUUUGGUUCUAGACCACCAUAAUAAAGCUAAUAUCACAAUAAAACGUCACACGAUGUUUUUGAUUUCCC
RNAcentral lists this long non-coding RNA (942 nucleotides) under Equus caballus (horse). Its description in RNAcentral is "lncRNA (ENSECAG00000043968.1)". Lineage: Eukaryota; Metazoa; Chordata; Mammalia; Perissodactyla; Equidae. The record is from RNAcentral.